Molecule: non-coding RNA, 20 nt
Filed under: Theobroma cacao (cacao)
Lineage: Eukaryota; Viridiplantae; Streptophyta; Magnoliopsida; Malvales; Malvaceae
Also listed under: 3 other names
Gene: tcc-miR172a
Source: miRBase by way of RNAcentral
GGAAUCUUGAUGAUGCUGCA